GCCAGUGUGGUGUAGUGGUUUGAGCAUUGGGCUGUGACCUUGGACAUCAGGGUUUGAUUCCCUGCUCAGCCG
Non-coding RNA from Phrynosoma platyrhinos (Desert horned lizard), 72 nucleotides. Lineage: Eukaryota; Metazoa; Chordata; Lepidosauria; Squamata; Phrynosomatidae. The record is from the annotation of a GenBank genome assembly.